UGGGGAAUAUUGCACAAUGGGCGCAAGCCUGAUGCAGCCAUGCCGCGUGUAUGAAGAAGGCCUUCGUGUUGUAAAGUACUUUCAGUCGGGAGGAAGGUGGUAAGGUUAAUAACCUUAUCAAUUGACGUUACCGACAGAAGAAGCACCGGCUAACUCCGUGCCAGCAGCCGCGGUAAUACGGAGGGUGCAAGCGUUAAUCGGAAUUACUGGGCGUAAAGCGCACGCAGGCGGUCUGUCAAGUCGGAUGUGAAAUCCCCGGGCUCAACCUGGGAACUGCAUUCGAAACUGGCAGGCUAGAGUCUUGUAGAGGGGGGUAGAAUUCCAGGUGUAGCGGUGAAAUGCGUAGAGAUCUGGAGGAAUACCGGUGGCGAAGGCGGCCCCCUGGACAAAGACUGACGCUCAGGUGCGAAAGCGUGGGGAGCAAACAGG
RNAcentral lists this ribosomal RNA (429 nucleotides) under Chloroflexota bacterium. RNAcentral describes it as "Chloroflexi bacterium partial 16S ribosomal RNA". It matches the Rfam family "Bacterial small subunit ribosomal RNA", at positions 355 to 776 of the family's 1533-position model. The record is from RNAcentral. Lineage: Bacteria; Bacillati; Chloroflexota.